This 247-nucleotide ribosomal RNA is filed under the name uncultured bacterium. RNAcentral describes it as "partial 16S ribosomal RNA". It matches the Rfam family "Bacterial small subunit ribosomal RNA", at positions 524 to 771 of the family's 1533-position model. The record is from RNAcentral.
UACGUAGGGUGCGAGCGUUAAUCGGAAUUACUGGGCGUAAAGCGUGCGCAGGCGGUUUUGUAAGCCAGAUGUGAAAUCCCCGGGCUUAACCUGGGAAUGGCAUUUGGGACUGCAAGGCUGGAGUGCGGCAGAGGAGACUGGAAUUCCUGGUGUAGCAGUGAAAUGCGUAGAUAUCAGGAGGAAUACCGAUGGCGAAGGCAGGUCUCUGGGCUGACACUGACGCUCAUGCACGAAAGCGUGGGAGCAA